GACGAACGCUGGCGGCGUGCUUAACACAUGCAAGUCGAACGGAAAGGCCCUGCUUGCAGGGUACUCGAGUGUCGAACGCGUGAGUAACACGUGGGUGAUCUGUCCUGCACUCCGGGAUAAGCCUGGGAAACUGGGUCUAAUACCGGAUAGGAGCCAUCCUUCGUGUGACGGUGGGAAAGAUUUUUUCGGUGUAGGAUGAGCUAGCGGCCUAUCAGCUUGUUGGUGGGGUAAUGGUCUACCAAGGCGGCGUCGGGUAGCCGGCCUGGGAGGGUGGACGGGCACAAUGGGGCUGGGGUACCGGCCAGACUCCUACGGGGAGCAAGAGGGGGGGAAAAUGCAAAAUGGGGGGAAGCCUGAUGGAAGGAAGGCGGGUGGGGGGAGAAGGGCUUCGGGUUUGAAACUCCUUUCGCUAGGGGCGGAACUGUGAGUGACGGUACCUAGAUAAGAAGCACCGGCUAACUACGUG
Molecule: ribosomal RNA, 466 nt
Filed under: uncultured bacterium
Lineage: Bacteria
Description: partial 16S ribosomal RNA
Rfam family: Bacterial small subunit ribosomal RNA
Source: RNAcentral